UGCAUAUCAAUAAGCGGAGGAAAAGAAACCAACAGGGAUUGCCCCAGUAACGGCGAGUGAAGCGGCAACAGCUCAAAUUUGAAAUCUGGCCUCGGCCCGAGUUGUAAUUUGCAGAGGAUGCUUCUGGCGAGGCACCGACCGAGUCCCCUGGAACGGGGCGCCAUAGAGGGUGAGAGCCCCGUAUGGUCGGACGCUUAGCCUGUGUGAAUCUUUUCCUCCGACUCGAUUGAUAUGCGGAAUGCUGCUCAAAAUGGGAGGUAAAUUUCUUCUAAAGCUAAAUACCGGCCAGAGACCGAUAGCGCACAAGUAGAGUGAUCGAAAGAUGAAAAGCACUUUGAAAAGAGGGUUAAAUAGCACGUGAAAUUGUUGAAAGGGAAGCGCUUGUGACCAGACUUGCGCCUGGCCGAUCAUCCGGGGUUCUCCCCGGUGCACUCGGCCAGGCUCAGGCCAGCAUCGGUUCUCUCGGGGGGACAAAGGCUCCGGGAACGUAGCUCCCUCCGGGGAGUGUUAUAGCCCGGGGCGUAAUGCCCUCGAGGGGACCGAGGACCGCGCUUCGGCAAGGAUGCUGGCGUUACGGUCAUCAGCGACCCGUCUUGAAACACGGACC
RNAcentral lists this ribosomal RNA (607 nucleotides) under Papulaspora equi. Its description in RNAcentral is "eukaryotic LSU rRNA". It matches the Rfam family "Eukaryotic large subunit ribosomal RNA", at positions 37 to 667 of the family's 3401-position model. The record is from RNAcentral. Lineage: Eukaryota; Fungi; Ascomycota; Sordariomycetes; Sordariales.